RNAcentral lists this long non-coding RNA (888 nucleotides) under Zostera marina. RNAcentral describes it as "long non-coding RNA (ZMAR_LNC004176)". The record is from RNAcentral. Lineage: Eukaryota; Viridiplantae; Streptophyta; Magnoliopsida; Alismatales; Zosteraceae.
GAAGAUUAGCGGAAAGGGGAAGAACUUAGGUCACUUGCACUGUAGCAACAGUUGAGAAGUAACCGUUAGUACGAGAGAGGUUAGAGAGUGAUUAGUUUGUUUCAAUUGAAUUAAUUAAACUUAUUUAUUACAAAUGAAUUAGCAAUUUCUUAUAACUAAUUACUCUAUUAAACUAUUUAAUUCCGGAUGAUGCGACUCCGGUAAACUUCAGCACAUUAAGGGAGGAUGUAGAGCACAUCAGAGCUGCAGCCGUGCCAGAAGAAGAAGAAUCAAAUUCUGAAAUCGCGCAGAGCGUCGAUCCAGAACCGUUGAGCGGUCAUGAACCGGAGCCGAGCCGGAGAAGUACACGCAACAGACGCGCACCCGGAUGGCUGAACGAUUUUGAUUUGGGCAGGGUUUAAAUCAUCGUGAUUUCCCUAAAUCCCCAAUUCUUAAAUUUAUAUUUAUUUUAUUAAAGAAACCCCAGUAGUUUUUAAUUUUACAAAAUGUGUAAGGGGUAUAAAAACAUGAUUGCUGGAUGAAAUAAAGACUUAUCAAAUUCCUAAUUCUUAAACUCCAUCCUUUCACAUUCCUCUCCAAAUUAUUCACUCUCCGGCUAAUCUCGCCGAGUACCUUCAUCUCCACCAGCACAACAUCUUAAUUCUUCCGGUAACUCGUCGAAUCUCGCCUGCAACUCAUUUGUUUUCUGCAAUUCCAGCACUGCCAUAUUGAGCACUUAUCCUAAGCAGCUUAACAGCAUUUCUUAGGGUGGCUAAGCCUCAAUUUCAGGGGAGUAUACCCGUCGCGAUCUGCUUCGGACACCCGUGAUUCUUAAAUCACGGAUCUGAAGCACCCAUAAACAUCAGGUGAAUUCAAUUCAUUUGGUCUGAUCCGAUCAAAUCGGUAUCA